AAUCCAUGGUAUGGACAUUUCCGUAACAAAUCUCUACACCUUUCCCACGUCUCAUAUAAAGAUUCCCCGUCUUGUUGACUAGAACUAGUGAUGUCCAUUCUAAGUUU
This is a small nucleolar RNA of Coffea arabica (coffee), 107 nucleotides long. Lineage: Eukaryota; Viridiplantae; Streptophyta; Magnoliopsida; Gentianales; Rubiaceae. The record is from RefSeq and is a predicted model, not a curated record.